This is a long non-coding RNA of Musa acuminata AAA Group (dessert banana), 2117 nucleotides long. RefSeq lists it as uncharacterized. NCBI's taxonomy places the organism in Eukaryota, Viridiplantae, Streptophyta, Magnoliopsida, Zingiberales, Musaceae. The record is from RefSeq and is a predicted model, not a curated record. The transcript is spliced from 5 exons.
UUUUAUAAAUUUUUUCAUACUUAGCAUUGUUACAGUAUAGCACUAUAGUAUUGUAGCUGUAGUAGUAGCAGUACUAUAGUAGUACCGAAUGGUUCGUGUAUUGGUAUAUCAUCGGAUCACUUUUAAGUAAAAAAAAAAAACCUUAUAUUUCUCCGGACCUAAAGACAAAUAUGUCUCACAGUCGGAUAACAUCGAUGAGUGAAAUGCAAAUAAAAGAGAAGACAAUAAUAAUUCAUAUUAAAAAAAAUCUUUCCAAAAAAGUUUUUGUAAAAAAAAAAUUGCAUCAUAUUUCCAAAUCAAACCUAUGGACUUAUUCUUUUGUCGUUUUCUCAUCUUUUCCAAUACAUCUUUUUGAUGCAUAAAAGAAGGGGGGCGAAUGUUAAAACAUUCAUAGAGGAGGUGGCUAACCCUAACCCUAAAUCCACUCUAGCUAGGGAUUAACGUAAAUUACUAAAAUAUCCAUAUUUAAUAUACUUAUUCUGGUCAGAUUCAAGUUAUUAGAUUCAAGUUAAACUACCGUAUCGUAUACUAGAUUUUGUCUCAAACUGUGUCGGAUGUCAGAGAUUCUCCUCUCCGAAUGUAACUGAGAUUUUGUCUCUACUUUGUUGGAUGUUAGACCUUCUCCGCUCCGUAUGUAACUGUCCAUCAGAAUAAGCUUCAUCCAAAAGCCAUCACUGUCUUCCAACUCUCCCUCCUCUCUUUCUCCAUGGAUACAUACAUAUUAUACUAACUGCAGCGUCUCCUCGCACUGAGCCGUCGUUCCGUGCCGGAAGAUCCAAAGCGGAGGACAUGCAGCUUCUCCCUGCCCUGCUGCUCCUCAUCCUAACUCAUCUCCCGGUGGCCAUCAAAGACCUCGUUGCAUUCGAUGUAAAAGACUAUGGAGCUGCGGGUGAUGGCAUCACGGACGACACACAGGUAGCUUCCUCGUCGCAUUUUGCUUCGCUGUUCUCUGCAACCCGCCAUGGUUUUCUAUGAUAACUGCAGAGGUGCAACAGCAGAGAGAGGAGUUUCUGCAACGAUGCUUGUGAUCACUGAACGUUACCAGCGUCACCGCUGCACAGAUUCCUACAGCGUCGUGCCAAACUAGUGAUCACAAGCCAACUCUGUAGCGUUUACACGCGCCGUCUCCCACCGAUGUCCAUUUGCCUGUUCUGUUUCGCUUAUGGGGAAGGCAAAUGCCAAUCUCUGUUUCUUGCUCACGUCAGACCUCCGCAGGAAGAAGAAGAGGUCCUUUAGUGAGUCAUUUAUUUCUCUGUUUGGUUGCUUUGUAGGCAUUUGCAGAUGCGUGGGAAGCUACAUGCAGGAAGGCUACAGGUCUUCCCAUCAUGUUCAUCCCUGGGAAGAAUAAGUUCUUAGUGAGCCCCAUCAUAUUUAAGGGGCCAUGCAAGGCCUCCAAUGUCCUGGUUCAGGUUGAAGGAACACUUGUGGCACCUGACAGCCCGAGCACGUGGAACUUCACCGACGCCUCCCUCUGGAUUCAGUUCAAGUCCGUCGAUGGGCUGAGACUCACCAGUUCUGGCUUUGGUCUGUUUGACGGCCGAGGAUCCAACUGGUGGAGGCAAUCUUGCAAACUCGAUCCCAGAAAGGGAUGCACUUCUUUGGCGCCAACUGUGAGUAUUUUCCCUAGCAAGACAUGGUUACUGAUCAGUUAGAUCUUAUGAUAUCAACUUACAUCCUCAAAACUUACAUGAAACCUCAAACAAUUUAGCAAACCUUCAGGGAUCUCUAGAUCACAAAAGAUUGUAUUUACUUGAGGCAAGAAGAAAGAUUGAUGAUAGUACAGUUACUGAAGUUGUUUUGUGUUCAUUCAGGCAGUAAAAUUUGUGCAGUGCAAUGACCUUGCAGUGAGCAGUCUGCGGUUCAUAAACAGCCCACAGACACAUAUUUUGAUAAUAGACAGUAACAGGGUUUACGUCACUAACCUUAACAUCACAGCUCCUGGGACGAGUCCCAAUACUGAUGGCAUCCACAUCCAUGCUUCCCGACAUGUUUAUAUCCAAGACACCAUCAUAGGAACAGGUGAUGACUGCAUUUCAAUCGGGGAUCGUACUAGUGACAUAGUUGUAACACGAAUAACAUGUGGUCCGGGACAUGGAAUAAGGUGAAAAGCUAACAAC